UACAGAGGUCCCAAGCGUUGUUCGGAUUCACUGGGCGUAAAGGGUGCGUAGGCGGUCGGGUAAGUCUGAUGUGAAAUCUCACAGCUUAACUGUGAAACUGCAUUGAAUACUAUCCGGCUCGAGGAAUGGAGGGGAGACUGGAAUACUUGGUGUAGCAGUGAAAUGCGUAGAUAUCAAGUGGAACACCAGUGGCGAAGGCGAGUCUCUGGACAUUUCCUGACGCUGAGGCACGAAAGCCAGGGGAGCAAACGGG
This 253-nucleotide ribosomal RNA is filed under the name uncultured bacterium. RNAcentral describes it as "partial 16S ribosomal RNA". It matches the Rfam family "Bacterial small subunit ribosomal RNA", at positions 524 to 776 of the family's 1533-position model. The record is from RNAcentral.